GGCCGGCUAGCUCAGUUGGUUAGAGUGUGGUGCUAAUAUUACGUCAUGUGACAUGUUAUGCCGAGGUCGUCGGUUCGAUCCCGGCGCUGGCCA
Molecule: non-coding RNA, 93 nt
Organism: Panus rudis PR-1116 ss-1
Lineage: Eukaryota; Fungi; Basidiomycota; Agaricomycetes; Polyporales; Panaceae
Source: the annotation of a GenBank genome assembly